This 886-nucleotide unclassified non-coding RNA is filed under the name Daphnia magna. Its description in RNAcentral is "obscurin, transcript variant X2". Lineage: Eukaryota; Metazoa; Arthropoda; Branchiopoda; Diplostraca; Daphniidae. The record is from RNAcentral.
CACCACCCACGAGCUACUAACGACGCCAUUCGUCUAUUGGUGGCCGGGACGAGUUGCUGCCGACACACAUAUCUACGCAUAUGUUGUGUGCCCAUUAUAAGAGCUCGACCUGCGUUGAGCAAAAGCAAAGCUAGCAGCUCCCUAUACAUUAUUAUUAUUAUUUCUUUUUGCUUUAAAUUUUUAUUUAUUUGUGUUUUCGUUUGUUUUUACCUUCAAGGGAACCCGCGCAGCACGGGCGCACCGGUGUGUCUAAUACAGUGUGUGUGUGUGUGUGUGUGUGUGUGUGUGUGUACUAUAUACGAAGAAGAGGCAGCUACCAGCAGUAAGUGGUAUUACGCGAGAUGGGCUGCGCUGACAGUAAAAGCGCCGGACUAGCCAAUUCUAUCACUACCGUCUCCGCGGCCAACACCAACGGCCAACUACAUCAGCAUCCAUCCAACUUGCAGACGAGCGAAGAUUCAGCUGCUGGCCAUUGUUCUUUAGCUGAAGAAGAAGACGCUGCUGUCAAGAUCCAGGCAUUUUACAGGGGCUAUCAAACCCGUCGUGAUUUAGCCGAUAAGAAAGAAAGGGAACUCUACGGUCCGGGUGGAAAACCGGGCAAGAAGAAAAAAGGAACUUAUCCCAAGCCUCUUGCACCACAACCGCCUCAGCAGCAACAGCCACCUCAAACUCAUCCAGCAGUUGUAGAUUUAGCGCAGCACCAACCGACAGCUUUGACGUAAAGUAUCAAUUGCCAACGAAAAGAACGAAAUGGAUUUGGACGCAAUGGAUCCCGCUGAACUCGAGCAAGAUUUGGACUUGAUGAACGCAGCCACUAAGAUUCAGGCUUCCUUCCGGGGUCACAUGGCGAGGAAACAAGCGGAGAAGAGCAAAACCGAUGGUGAAA